CGUACGAGUUGCCAGGGGGUGGUGCCCUUGAGAUCGUGGCUUCCGGAGCUAACGCGUUAAAUCGACCGCCUGGGGAGUACGGCCGCAAGGUUAAAACUCAAAUGAAUUGACGGGGGCCCGCACAAGCGGUGGAGCAUGUGGUUUAAUUCGAUGCAACGCGAAGAACCUUACCUGCUCUUGACAUCCAGAGAACUUUCCAGAGAUGGAUUGGUGCCUUCGGGAACUCUGAGACAGGUGCUGCAUGGCUGUCGUCAGCUCGUGUUGUGAAAUGUUGGGUUAAGUCCCGCAACGAGCGCAACCCUUAUCCUUUGUUGCCAGCGGUUCGGGCGGGAACUCAAAGGAGACUGCCAGUGAUAAACUGGAGGAAGGGGGGGAUGACGUCAAGUCAUCUUGGCCCUUACGAGUAGGGCUACACACGUGCUACAAUGGCAUAUACAAAGAGAAGCGACCUCGCGAGAGGAAGCGAACCUCAUAAAGUAUGUCGUAGUCCGAAUUGGAGUCUGCAACUCGACUCCUUGAAGUCGAAAUCGCUAGUAAUCGUAAAUCAAAAUGCUACGGGAAAUACGUUCCCGGGCUUUGUACACCCCCCCCGUCCCCCCAUGGGAGGGGGUUGCAAAAAAAAGAAGGUAGUUUAACCUUCGGGGAGGGCCGCUUACCCCUUGUGGGAUUCAUGACUGGGGGGGGAAGUCGUAACAAGGAAACCGGAAAC
Molecule: ribosomal RNA, 709 nt
Filed under: Serratia ureilytica
Lineage: Bacteria; Pseudomonadati; Pseudomonadota; Gammaproteobacteria; Enterobacterales; Yersiniaceae
Description: partial 16S ribosomal RNA
Rfam family: Bacterial small subunit ribosomal RNA
Source: RNAcentral